Long non-coding RNA from Tachyglossus aculeatus (Australian echidna), 646 nucleotides. RefSeq lists it as uncharacterized. NCBI's taxonomy places the organism in Eukaryota, Metazoa, Chordata, Mammalia, Monotremata, Tachyglossidae. The transcript has 2 exons. The record is from RefSeq and is a predicted model, not a curated record.
CGCGAUGCAGAGAUGAAUGCGCGGCCACCGGAGGGUUUGGAGGAGUGGGGAACGUCCUUUCGUCAAAUAUGAUGCGGGCAGAAGGGCGAAGUAAGGCCCGGAGAGGGGAGAGACCGGAGGCAGGGAGGUCAAUGAGGAGGCCGAUGCAGGACUCAAGGUGGCAUAGGAUACGCGCCGUGGAUCAACGAGAACUGCUACAGAACCCUUAGUCCUGGAAGACGCUGCCUGGUUCAGCUUCCCAGCCCCCCAGCCCAGGACUCUGUCUCCAACGAGGGCACCAGGAUGCUUGGAGAAUCCUGCAGGACACCCACCCUCGUGGCUGGAAAUGGAUCGGCCAGCGCCUCUGACUCUCCCCUCUCCAUCUCUGACUAUUCUGGUGAACCAUCUUGGACCUUCCAACACUCCUGACUCUCCCCUUCCCGGCCCAGAUUCACAUUUGGAAGACCGAGAUAGUGACUCUUCCCCACCUUCAAAGCCUUACCAAAGGCAUAUCUCCUCCAAGAGGCCUUCUCUGACUGUUGCCCUCAUUUCCUCUUCUUCGACUCCCUUCUACAUUGCCUUUGCACUUGAAUUUGCUCCCUUUAUUCACCACUCCCUCAGUCCCACAGCAUUUAUAUACUUAUGCAUAAAGUAUUUAUUUAUUUUA